RNAcentral lists this long non-coding RNA (457 nucleotides) under Gossypium barbadense (sea-island cotton). RNAcentral describes it as "long non-coding RNA (GBAR_LNC009852)". The record is from RNAcentral. Lineage: Eukaryota; Viridiplantae; Streptophyta; Magnoliopsida; Malvales; Malvaceae.
GAGGAGACAAGGCAAUAGUAGUUGAAAAAGGUGGUGAGGUUGGAGGAAGUGGGGUAGUAGUCGUUGAAGAGGGUGGUGAAGGUGGAGGAGGAUGUGGGGCAGUAGUUGCUGAAGAGGGUGGUGAAGGUGGAGGAGGAAGUGGGACACUAGCUGUUGAAGAGGAUGGUAAAGACGGAGAAGGAAUUAGGGCACUAGAUGUCAAUGGGGGAGAUAGAGAUGGAGGUGGAGGAGGUGGGACACUAGUCAUUGAAAAGGAUGGUGAAGGUAGAAAAGGAAGUGGGGCAAUAGUCGUCAAAGAGGGUGGUGAAGGUGGAGGAAGUAGGGCAUUAGACAUUGAUGAGAGUUGUGGAGGAGGGUCCUUAGACAUUGAUGGGGCUAGUGGAUAUGAAGGAAGUGGGGUGCCAUACACUGAUAAGAGUGAUGGUGUUGGAGGGGGAGGAGGUGGAGGUGGCGGUGG